UCCGAGGUAGCUCAGCUUGGCAGAGCAACGGGCUGUUAACCCGUGUUGCGCUGGUUCGAAUCUAGCCCUUGGAG
This 74-nucleotide transfer RNA is filed under the name Armatimonadota bacterium. Its description in RNAcentral is "Armatimonadetes bacterium tRNA-Asn". It matches the Rfam family "tRNA". Rfam says of the family: Transfer RNA (tRNA) molecules are approximately 80 nucleotides in length. The record is from RNAcentral. Lineage: Bacteria; Bacillati; Armatimonadota.